GGGUGUUUGGAGAUAUUGUAUGUUAUUGUAAACAUUUAAUAAGUCAUAGUUAGUAUGCUAAAUUAGUGUAGUAAUAUAGACUUUAUCUCUCUUAUGCUUGUACCAUAGUUAAUUUACGGGCAUGUUAAACUACUUGAAUUGUACGGCAUAAGGAACUCUUGAGUACCUAUAGCGUUGUGAUGACACAUUGAUGCAUAUUGAGUCAAUGUAGUGAUUCGUUUAUCCAUAACCUUCGAUUUUAAGUGUGGGGUCCUCUUUUUUCCUCACAAUGACCUUAGGCGAAAAUUUUGGAUUCAUUCCCAUCUUUGUGUUUGUCAUGUGUAGGUUGCUAUGGCUCGUGACUAUACCGCUAAAGGAAAAGGGGUAGGGAAGUCUUCCACUACCGCUCCUCCUCCAAAGAAACACAAGCAAUAUGAGAGCUCUUCCCAACAAGCCAAGGGAAAGUAAAUACAAAGAAAUCAUG
RNAcentral lists this long non-coding RNA (463 nucleotides) under Nicotiana benthamiana. Its description in RNAcentral is "long non-coding RNA (NBEN_LNC009653)". Lineage: Eukaryota; Viridiplantae; Streptophyta; Magnoliopsida; Solanales; Solanaceae. The record is from RNAcentral.